Molecule: ribosomal RNA, 1204 nt
Filed under: Phascolosoma scolops
Lineage: Eukaryota; Metazoa; Annelida; Sipuncula; Phascolosomatiformes; Phascolosomatidae
Description: 16S ribosomal RNA
Rfam family: Archaeal large subunit ribosomal RNA (bases 532-1204)
Source: RNAcentral
ACCCACUCAGAUUAACACAAUCACUGCAAAGAGCAAACUAUUUUUCCAAAGUAAUUUUUUAUUGUACCUUGUGUAUCAUGGUUUAACAAGUAAAAAUAAAACAAUUUCUCUCUCGAACUUAUCUUGAGCUAGAAGAAUUAUGUUUCUACGCACCCACUCUAUAUUGUUGCAAUACUAAGAGAAUAAAAUCUUCUAGAAGCUACAUACCUAUCGCAAAUAAAGAUAGCUAGUUUCCUACAAAAUUAAUUUUCGUUAAGCAAACUAUUUCUUUCUAACACAACAUACCAAACAAUAGUUUUGUAAAAAAAUUUAGGCUAACCUAAACUUUUUAUCUCACUUAUCUCCAUAUUUUCCUUCUAUAGGCUUCAAGUCAGCCAUUAAAACAAAAUGCGUUCUAGCCUCACACAAAAAAUAUCUUACAAAAAAGUAUUAGUAAAAGUAGGAUACAUUUCACAAUACUAAAGAAAUACAAACACUGUAUAAAAUAAUUAUUUUUCUACUUAUCCUAAUUAUUUAUAAAAUAUCACAAUAAACUUUUCUUUACUUAACUCUCUCUUAGGAACUCGGCAAAUACGAACUUUGCCUGUUUAAUAAAAACAUGUCUUUCAGAAAAAAAAUUGAAAGUCCAACCUGCCCGGUGAUAGUUUUAACGGCCGCGGUAGCCUGACCGUGCUAAGGUAGCGUAAUCAUUUGCCCUUUAAUUGGGGGCUUGUAUGAAUGGUUAGACAAGAGUUCACCUGUCUUAGAGAGACAUCUAAAAAUUAACCUUUAGGUGCAGAGGCCUAAAUUAUAGUAAAAGACAAGAAGACCCUAUCGAGCUUUAAUUCAGUUUUUUUUAAAAAAAAUAACUAAAUUUUUAUUGGGGCAAUAUAGGAACAAAUAAAGCUUCCUAAAACACAUAAGAAACACUUUUUUUAAAAGAAACAUUAAAAAUUAUUUUGGAAAAAGCUACCGUAGGGAUAACAGACUAAUCUCCCUUGAGAGUCCACAUUGACAGGGAGGCUUGGCACCUCGAUGUUGGCUUAAGAUAACCAUUAAUUCUUGAAGCAGAACUCUAAUAUGGUAGGUUUGUUCAACCUUUAAUAUCUUACAUGAGCUGAGUUUAGACCGACGUAAGUCAGGUCAGAUUCUAUCUUUACUACUUUUCUAUUUAUCGUUCGUACGAAAGGAUUUCGAUAAAAAAAUUCUUUUUCUUUCCUAUAUU